AUUUUGCGUUAGGGAUUAUAGUGGAAAUCCUUUUUGUGAGGAACGAACAAAAAGAUUGGAACGCAAAGUCCGACUGUAG
RNAcentral lists this small RNA (79 nucleotides) under Chryseobacterium koreense CCUG 49689. RNAcentral's name for it is "Flavo-1 RNA". It matches the Rfam family "Flavo-1 RNA". Lineage: Bacteria; Pseudomonadati; Bacteroidota; Flavobacteriia; Flavobacteriales; Weeksellaceae. The record is from Rfam by way of RNAcentral.